UCCCUCUGACUGCAUUGUGCAGCUGCUGAGCAGAGAGAAGUUGCAGGGAGGAGGGGGUUCCAGAGGAGAAGCGAAGAGACUCAGGUUUUCAUACGAUUUAUCAAAGUACAGGCAAGAUGCAGAGAUGCUUCUGAAGCUGUGACCCCAAAAAGAAGCUCAACUGGGAGAUUUGCAGCCUGGACCAGUCUAACCCUACAGGAGGCUGUUUCAACGGGCUCAGCAACUCCCUCGGUUUGACCCCUGACACAAGCAUGCCUGCUGAAUCUACACCUGGACCUAAAGACUUGUAGAGUCCUUUCUGGGGCUGGAUGUUCCCACAGGACAAUUACCAGUCAUGCAUACAGAGCUUUGCU
Molecule: long non-coding RNA, 353 nt
Filed under: Homo sapiens (human)
Lineage: Eukaryota; Metazoa; Chordata; Mammalia; Primates; Hominidae
Description: HSALNT0095473
Source: RNAcentral